RNAcentral lists this transfer RNA (76 nucleotides) under Acidobacteriota bacterium. RNAcentral's name for it is "Acidobacteria bacterium tRNA-Ala". It matches the Rfam family "tRNA". From Rfam's summary of the family: Transfer RNA (tRNA) molecules are approximately 80 nucleotides in length. Their secondary structure includes four short double-helical elements and three loops (D, anti-codon, and T loops). Further hydrogen bonds mediate the characteristic L-shaped molecular structure. tRNAs have two regions of fundamental functional importance: the anti-codon, which is responsible for specific mRNA codon recognition, and the 3' end, to which the tRNAs corresponding amino acid is attached (by aminoacyl-tRNA synthetases). tRNAs cope with the degeneracy of the genetic code in two manners: having more than one tRNA (with a specific anti-codon) for a particular amino acid; and 'wobble' base-pairing, i.e. permitting non-standard base-pairing at the 3rd anti-codon position. RNAcentral also lists the same sequence under 2 other names. The record is from RNAcentral. Lineage: Bacteria; Pseudomonadati; Acidobacteriota.
GGGGCUGUGGCGCAGUUGGGAGCGCGCUUCCAUGGCAUGGAAGAGGUCAGGGGUUCGAACCCCCUCAGCUCCACCA